UACGUAGGGUGCAAGCGUUAUCCGGAUUUAUUGGGUUUAAAGGGUGCGCAGGCGGAAGAUCAAGUCAGCAGUAAAAUUGAGAGGCUCAACCUCUUCGAGCCGUUGAAACUGGGGAUCUAGAGUGUGCGAGAGGUAUGCGGAAUGCGUGGUGUAGCGGUGAAAUGCAUAGAUAUCACGCAGAACCCCGAUUGCGAAGGCAGCAUACCGGUGCACAACUGACGCUCAGGCACGAAAGCGUGGGUAUCGAACAGG
RNAcentral lists this ribosomal RNA (252 nucleotides) under uncultured Bacteroidales bacterium. RNAcentral's name for it is "partial 16S ribosomal RNA". It matches the Rfam family "Bacterial small subunit ribosomal RNA", at positions 524 to 776 of the family's 1533-position model. The record is from RNAcentral. Lineage: Bacteria; Pseudomonadati; Bacteroidota; Bacteroidia; Bacteroidales.